UGUGUUAGUUUGAGCUUGGACU
Molecule: non-coding RNA, 22 nt
Filed under: Arabidopsis thaliana (thale cress)
Lineage: Eukaryota; Viridiplantae; Streptophyta; Magnoliopsida; Brassicales; Brassicaceae
Source: RNAcentral